RNAcentral lists this ribosomal RNA (460 nucleotides) under uncultured bacterium. Its description in RNAcentral is "partial 16S ribosomal RNA". It matches the Rfam family "Bacterial small subunit ribosomal RNA", at positions 338 to 795 of the family's 1533-position model. The record is from RNAcentral.
CCUACGGGAGGCAGCAGUGAGGAAUAUUGGUCAAUGGACGAGAGUCUGAACCAGCCAAGUAGCGUGAAGGAUGACUGCCCUAUGGGUUGUAAACUUCUUUUAUAUGGGAAUAAAAUGUUCCACGUGUGGGAUUUUGUAUGUACCCUAUGAAUAAGGAUCGGCUAACUCCGUGCCAGCAGCCGCGGUAAUACGGAGGAUCCGAGCGUUAUCCGGAUUUAUUGGGUUUAAAGGGAGCGUAGGUGGAUUGUUAAGUCAGUUGUGAAAGUUUGCGGCUCAACCGUAAAAUUGAAGUUGAAACUGGCAGUCUUGAGUACAGUAGAGGUGGGCGGAAUUCGUGGUGUAGCGGUGAAAUGCUUAGAUAUCACGAAGAACUCCGAUUGCGAAGGCAGUUCACUGGACUGCAACUGACACUGAGGCUCGAAAGUGUGGGUAUCAAACAGGAUUAGAUACCCGGGUAGUC